This 253-nucleotide ribosomal RNA is filed under the name uncultured prokaryote. RNAcentral's name for it is "partial 16S ribosomal RNA". It matches the Rfam family "Bacterial small subunit ribosomal RNA", at positions 524 to 776 of the family's 1533-position model. The record is from RNAcentral.
UACGUAGGCAGCAAGCGUUGUUCGGAGUUACUGGGCGUAAAGGGUGCGUAGGCGGCUUCUUAAGUCUGGUGUGAAAUCUCCCGGCUCAACUGGGAGGGUGCGCCGGAUACUGAGGGGCUAGAGUGUGGGAGAGGAAAGUGGAAUUCCUGGUGUAGCGGUGAAAUGCGUAGAUAUCAGGAGGAACACCGGUGGUGUAAACGGCUUUCUGGACCAUUACUGACGCUGAGGCGCGAAAGCUAGGGGAGCAAACAGG